Cyanistes caeruleus (blue tit) is the source of this 3143-nucleotide non-coding RNA. Lineage: Eukaryota; Metazoa; Chordata; Aves; Passeriformes; Paridae. The record is from RefSeq and is a predicted model, not a curated record.
CACGCGACUUUUUGAGUUAAUCCGAAGGUUGUGUAUGAACCUCUGGGGUCUACGAGGUUACGUGGAACAUAGAACUACUUUUUUUUGUCAGAUCGCGGAAGGAUAUUGCACCAUUGAGUGCGUCACAGCGCCCCACUCCUUCCUACCUCUGCCUCCCCUUCCCCCCCGCGUGCACGGGGUUUCCCGUCCGGUCCCUGCUGCAGCGUGGGGCGGGAGGGCGCAAUGGCGGCGCCGGCUUGGCCGGGCUGCGGGGAUAGCGAGCGGCCCUGCGGCUGGGGCGUCAUAGCGACCUUUUCGUGGCCGCGUUUUCCCCACUGUGUUGGUUGUUUUUGAAGCCCCGGAGUCGGGGGGUGACAGAAGAGAGAAAGAGGCUUCCUCGGGCGGGGGCCAGCGGCCGCGCAUCCGCCCCAUCCGCACACAGAAAUGGCUCCAGCCUCCUCCUCCUCCUCCCUGACAAGCGAAACACACCCCGAGCUGUCCCCCUGCGCUCCCAGAGUCGGGGCAGCGUUGGUAACUCCCGCAGAGGCCCUGAGGCGAAGGGGGCAGAUGGAGGCGCCUCUGAGGGGGCCCUGGCCCCGGGCUCACACCCAGUGCCCGCCGGUGGGCCCAGGGCUGAAUCCCACAAACCUGUCCCGAGGCGCUAAGGGUGGAUCAUUCCUGAAGGGGAUGCAGGAGUAUUUGUAGGAGACAGGUUAGGUGGUCCUCGGGGUGCAGCCGAAAGCACGGUGAUCUGGUGUAGGUCUCAGUACAGCGGUGUCCACGAAAAACCUGUCAAGAAUGAUUUAAAGUGUUAGAGAUGCAUAUUCUUCUUGUGACUGAGUCUGAAUUGUGUGCCCAUGAAGCUGAAGUGCCAAGUGAGCUGCUAAAUGUAACUGCUCUGGUUUUUGGAGCUUCUGUUUAGUGCUAGGAAGCUUCUGUGGGCCAGUCCUUAGCCCCAGCUGUUUGUGCUUCAACCCAUCCCAGAACAUGAUUCUAUAUUAUUUUGUAUGCCAACUGAAUAUCACCAGAUGAGACAAAAAUGAACAGAAGGAAGGAGAAUGAAGUGAGAACUGUAAAGGACUGCUGCCUCAGAACUGCUGUUGCCAUAGAGCUGCUAACGAAGAAAAAAACUGCAGCAUGGAUUUCUUGUGCUGUUGAAGGCAGUACUAAGAAGCUCCAUCAAAAACUGGCCUGUUUUUUCUGUUGCCAUACUGAGACUUCUGGACGAUGGAUGUGUGCCUGGAUACCAAUAUCUUAGUCAAGCAGCUAAAAGCUACCAGGUGGAUGGAUUGAUCCUUAACUACCAGGCAACUAGUGACAGGGAAAUAAGGAAUUCACUCAGAUGUGGAAAAAGGACAUAGCUCAAGGUGCACUGCUGGCUGGUGGUCUGUAGCUGCUAUGUGAGUACCUGCUUCUCCUCCAGCUCAAUAAAAUUUAGAAAAGAUUACUAUCACCUUUACAUAAUUUCAGACUAAUACUCAGAAAGGGACUGACUGGCCUAAUACCCAUGUAAUCUAGGUAUGGAAAAAAGUUACAUAAAACUUCCUUCUCAUUCUCAGCCUGAGCAGUUUUGUGUGCUUUUUGGCUGUAAUAGCCUUCAUAGACUCCUUUAGAGAAUUGCUGGUAAAUUUUGUAUUUAAUAAAAUAAUGCAGUACCUAGUAAGAUUUAUACCUUUCAGGGAUAUGCCAAUAUCCUCUCCUAAGCAGAAAGGAUGAGAUGUUGUCUCAUUGUAUUCAAAUUUUUUUAUUCAGGAUAGUUUAAGACAAUCUUAAAUGACAGUAAUUGCUUGUCAGGGAGUGGCUGAAGAUGGAAUACAAAAUUCAAACACUGAAUAAGAAAAUACAAAAAUGCAAAAUGAGUCCAAAACUACAAGGUCAGACUCAGAUGAGGAAUUUUCCAAAUCCAGGUUGAUGUGAAGAUUGGAUUAGCUUCUCACAGAAAAGGUGCUGGCUGUAUAAUUGACUUGGGGGCUGGAAACUAGAUGAUCAUUAAGGUCUUUGCAACCCAAAGCAUUCAAUGAUUCUAUGACUUGGAUUUACAUCUUUGUCUGUGAAGGGAAUUUUCACUUAUUUUUUUGAGAAACCUUCAGAAAUACAGUGAAUUAUCAUCUUUAACAGUUACCUUAUUUCAUUAAUCUUUAUUUAAAAAAAGAAUCCACCUCUUAGCAUGUCUGUUGUCUGAGAAACCAUGUUUUAAAAUGGACUGAGCUGAAGCAGUAGAUUUCAUUCACAGUUAGUUCAGGACACACCUAACAGUUCUCUGGUGAUAGAUAAGCAAAAUGGAGCAUCUUAAAAUAUUAGAACCAAGGUCACCCAAAAACAUCAUGAGUAGGAUUAAAAUGUUUAAAACCAGUUCCCCCCUCUUGUGGAAGUUGUUGCCACAGAAAAAGAUCUGGAUGCAGAUAUGGUUAUUGGGGGCAGAAAUUGCUUAGAAAAGUUCAUGGGCAGAAGGUGCUUACCUGGAUAUGAAAAGGACUCAGCAGAAGAUUACCCUUUAAAGUCCCUGGUACAAUGAUUCUGGGUGUUGGAAAAGUACAAGAGGAAUGGUUUGCAGAGAGAGGCAGGCCAUAAGCUUCUUCUAACCACAAUUGUCUUUUGCCACUGGGAGAGAUGGAUACUGGGAUGGAUGUACAACAGUUCUGAUGAAAAAGGGAAUUUCUUUUGGUUUGGUUUUACAAUAUUUCAUUAUAAUUACUCAGAAACUUUUACAGAAGAUGGAAAAAAAAGCAGUGAAAUAAAUGUUGUGUAAAUAAUCAAAGACAUUUGAAAUAUAUCUCAUCAGUUAAAAAUAAAAUUCCCAUUAUUGUUGUGUUCCAAAUUGCACCUCAGUUCAUUUAUUACAAUACUGGUUAGUUUUCUUAAAUGGGCAGUGAUACUGAAGAAAGGCAUUGGAUUAGGUGAUUUAUAACAUAAUUCCCUUAGCUGUCUGUUGUUUGCAGAUUGUUCUUUUUUUCCUCUUCUGUUCUAGGUUGUUCAUUGUGACACUCAUCAUUUUUUUGACCAUAGCUUAUGUAUAUUUUAUGUAUGUAAUUGAAACAGUAUGAAUAAACAGUGGAAAUGUGCAAUUCCUGCAAAAUUGACUGUGGAAGUAAAGUUAUAUUCUGUUCCCACUCUAGAGAGCUUUGUCCUUGAUUUUUUUGGAAAAGAAAGAUUGGACUCUAUUA